AACGAACGCUGGCGGCAGGCCUAACACAUGCAAGUCGAGCGAGGACUUCGGUCCUAGCGGCGGACGGGUGAGUAACGCGUGGGAACGUGCCCUUUGCUUCGGAAUAGCCCUGGGAAACUGGGAGUAAUACCGGAUGAGCCCUUUGGGGGAAAGAUUUAUCGGCGAAGGAUCGGCCCGCGUUGGAUUAGGUAGUUGGCGGGGUAAUGGCCUACCAAGCCGACGAUCCAUAGCUGGUUUGAGAGGAUGAUCAGCCACACUGGGACUGAGACACGGCCCAGACUCCUACGGGAGGCAGCAGUGGGGAAUCUUAGACAAUGGGGGAAACCCUGAUCUAGCCAUGCCGCGUGAGCGAUGAAGGCCUUAGGGUUGUAAAGCUCUUUCAGCUGGGAAGAUAAUGACGGUACCAGCAGAAGAAGCCCCGGCUAACUCCGUG
This 433-nucleotide ribosomal RNA is filed under the name uncultured bacterium. RNAcentral's name for it is "partial 16S ribosomal RNA". It matches the Rfam family "Bacterial small subunit ribosomal RNA", at positions 29 to 507 of the family's 1533-position model. The record is from RNAcentral.